GUGACCUGCGGAAGGAUCAUUAU
Molecule: ribosomal RNA, 23 nt
Filed under: Lophium arboricola
Lineage: Eukaryota; Fungi; Ascomycota; Dothideomycetes; Mytilinidiales; Mytilinidiaceae
Description: partial 18S ribosomal RNA
Source: RNAcentral